GUAUUCAUGUUUAUAUCAGUAUAACUGGAUAUUUUCCUGCCCUUCUUUUUCCCUUCUAGGUCGUUUUUCUAAUUCUUAUGUAAAGUAGUAUUUAUUGUUACACCAUGUUUUUUUAUUGCUCUUAGCUUGACUGUUCUCUCCCUUGUACGUCGCUUUGGACAAAAGCAUCUGCUAAAUGACUAAAUGUAAAUGUAAAUAUCAGUAAAAGGUAACUGGAUAUUUCAGUACCAGGUAACGGGCUAUUCAUGUUUAUAUCAGUAAAAGGUAACUGGAUAUUUCAGUACCAGGUAACGGGCUAUUUCAGUAAAAGGUAACUGGAUAUUUCAGUACUAGGUAAAUGGGUAUUCAUGUUUAUAUCAGUAAAAGGUAACUGGAUAUUUAAGUACCAGGUAACGGGCUAUUUCAGUACUAGGGAACGGGCUAUUUCAGUAAAAGGUAACUGGAUAUUUCAGUACUAGGUAACUGGAUAUUUAAGUACCAGGUAACGGGCUAUUUCAGUACUAGGGAACGGGCUAUUUCAGUAAAAGGUAACUGGAUAUUUCAGUACUAGGUAACGGGCUAUUUCAGUAAAAGGUAACUGGAUAUUUCAGUACUAGGUAAAUGGGUAUUGAGGUUGGUGAUGGGGAGGUAACUGGUGGCCGUGUUCAUGAAAAUGGUGGGAGAGAGAGAGAGAGAUGGAGAGAGA
Molecule: long non-coding RNA, 685 nt
Organism: Clupea harengus (Atlantic herring)
Lineage: Eukaryota; Metazoa; Chordata; Actinopteri; Clupeiformes; Clupeidae
Exons: 3
Source: RefSeq, a predicted model, not a curated record